GCUUGUCUCAAAGAUUAAGCCAUGCAUGUCUAAGUAUAAGCGUUUAGUACAGCGAGACUGCGGAUGGCUCAUUAAAUCAGUUAUAGUUUAUUUGAUGGUCAAUUUUACUACAUGGAUAACCGUGGUAAUUCUAGAGCUAAUACAUGCGUAAAGUCCUAACUGUCAGCAAUGGCCGGAAGGGAUGUAUUUAUUAGAUUAAAAACCAAUACGGGUUUCGGCUCGUUCCAAUGGUGAUUCAUAAUAACUUCAGCGGAUCGCAAUAUACCUUUCGGGGUGGCGACGGUUCAUUCAAAUUUCUGCCCUAUCAACUUUGGAUGGUAGUAUAGAGGACUACCAUGGUGAUAACGGGUAACGGAGAAUUAGGGUUCGAUUCCGGAGAGGGAGCCUGAGAAAUGGCUACCACUUCUAAGGAAGGCAGCAGG
Molecule: ribosomal RNA, 422 nt
Filed under: Endostelium amerosporum
Lineage: Eukaryota; Discosea; Flabellinia
Description: partial small subunit ribosomal RNA
Rfam family: Eukaryotic small subunit ribosomal RNA
Source: RNAcentral